Molecule: ribosomal RNA, 253 nt
Filed under: uncultured bacterium
Lineage: Bacteria
Description: partial 16S ribosomal RNA
Rfam family: Bacterial small subunit ribosomal RNA
Source: RNAcentral
UACAUGUGGGGCAAGCGUUGUUCGGAAUUACUGGGCGUAAAGCGUGCGCAGGCGGUUUUGUAAGACAGAGGUGAAAUCCCCGGGCUCAACCUGGGAACUGCCUUUGUGACUGCAAGGCUUGAGUGCGGCAGAGGGGGAUGGAAUUCCGCGUGUAGCAGUGAAAUGCGUAGAUAUGCGGAGGAACACCGAUGGCGAAGGCAAUCCCCUGGGCCUGCACUGACGCUCAUGCACGAAAGCGUGGGGAGCAAACAGG